CCUACGGGUGGCAGCAGUGGGGAAUAUUGCACAAUGGGGGAAACCCUGAUGCAGCGACGCCGCGUGAGUGAAGAAGUAUUUCGGGGUGUAAAGCUCUAUCAGCAGGGAAGUAAAUGACGGUACCUGAUUAAGAAGCCACGGCUAACUACGUGCCAGCAGCCGCGGUAAUACGUAGGGGGCAAGCGUUAUCCGGAUUUACUGGGUGUAAAGGGAGCGUAGACGGCAGGACAAGUCUGCAGUGAAAUGUCCGGGCUUAACCCGGGCCCUGCAUCGGAAACUGUGCAGCUAGAGUGCAGGAAAGGUAGGUGGAAUUCCUAGUGUAGCGGUGAAAUGCGUAGAUAUGACGAGGAACCCCAGUGGCGAAGGCGGCUUGCUGCAGUGGAACUGACGUUGAUGCUCGAAAGCGUGGGUAGCGAACAGGAUUAGAUACCCUAGUAGUC
RNAcentral lists this ribosomal RNA (440 nucleotides) under uncultured bacterium. RNAcentral describes it as "partial 16S ribosomal RNA". It matches the Rfam family "Bacterial small subunit ribosomal RNA", at positions 338 to 795 of the family's 1533-position model. The record is from RNAcentral.